Mizuhopecten yessoensis (Yesso scallop) is the source of this 2053-nucleotide long non-coding RNA. RefSeq lists it as uncharacterized. Lineage: Eukaryota; Metazoa; Mollusca; Bivalvia; Pectinida; Pectinidae. The transcript has 6 exons. The record is from RefSeq and is a predicted model, not a curated record.
UUCAAAACAAAUGGCACACACAAAAGUUUGUUUUUAAAAAGAAGUUUUGAAUGUGAUUACUAUGAGGCUUUUGUUUGACCCUUUGCAAUCAGGAGUAAAAUUACUUUUGAUAUAUUAUGGAGAGUCGAAACAUUUUUUCAAUAAUUCAGUAUCAAUAAAUCUUUUAAGAUUCUUUUAGGAUUGAAAAAGUUAGUUUCAAGAGUCAAAUGAGAGCCUAGAUUAAUCUAUAUAUGGUAAGAACCAUUUAUUUUAAUGUGAUGUUUUGUCAACAAUUUUGUUCAUCCAUAUACAAAUAACAAAAAACCUGCAUGAUGCAUCUGCAUUGAAAAAAAAUGCAUUUUAUUCAUAUGAGUCACAAAAAUAAUAAAUACAUACAAACUACUUAACUGACAUAUCAAGUUUGUGUAUGAAAAAACAUCUUCAUGGACAUUAUUGUUGUGUGUUUGUAUUAAAUGUCAAUUUAAAAUCUGUUUUUGAAAAGAAAGUGUCAGUAAAGAGAAACUAGUGAGAUCAUAUAUUAUUGCUAUAUAUAUAUUCACAAUGCUUCAAUUAAUUCACCAGUUGAUUAUUAUUUUAUUUUCAAAAAAUAAUUCUUGGAUACGUGCUGUUAGGAUGGAAGGAAACCAGGAGAGGAGGAAUGAGUAGUUCCUAGUUUAUGGGUCAAGGGAAAGUUUUUGUAUUGGCCUAAAGGGAUCAAUGCAGAAAAGGUCAUGAAAAUGAGGAGAGCCAACAGAUAAGUGGAGAAAAUUUCAAGUUAUAAAGAAAAAGUGCCGAUCAGAACAUCCUUGGAAACAGAUAAUGACUCGCAAAGAGUUGGGAAAAGAGAGAGGAAAAUGGUUGAUGGAAGCAAAUCUUUGCCCAUCCCACCAAGAAAACUUCCAGUGAUGGAGAGGUGAAAAUCAUCAGAAAGAACAGUGCAUAGCAAGGACAGAUUAAGUGAAAUACCCAACAGAUCUGACCAACAAAAGUCACCUGUUGUUCAGUCUAGGUCACGAUCAAGGUCAAAGUCAAGUUCGGCAGAUCUAGACUUAGAGCGGUCAAAGUCAUGUAAUAGGCGAUUCAGGUCACAUACUAGAAGUAGGUCAAGGUCAUGGUCAAAUGUAGAGCAGUCAGGGGCAGGAAGUAGGUCAAAAUCAAGGUCAGUAGAUUUAGAAAGAUCACAGCCUAGGUCAAAAAUAGGGUCAUCAGAACAAGACAAAUGCAGAUCACAAGGGAGAGACAUAUAUCCGUGUAGGUCUACUAGAAGACAGUCACAUAAUGGCAGGUUCAGAUUUCAAUCUAGAUCAAGGUCAAGGUCACGUACCACAAACACGUUUAUGACUCCAGUCAUACAGAGAUGUAUCCAGGAAUCAGCCAAUGGCAUUUUUUUUUAGAUCUCCUACAUCCCAAAGCAGAGAAGAACCGUGUUCCUAUAUAAGGUCAAGGUCAAGAACUCGAUCAUUUAGAGAAAGGAGAUCAAGGUCAAGGUCUCGAUCAGUUAAAGAAAGGAGAUCAAAGUCAAGGUCAAUGUCUCGAUCAGUUCGAGAAAGGAGGUCCAGAUCAAGAUCUGCUAGUGAUAGAUUUCACAUAAGAUCUGUCAGAGAAUCGCCAUUGCCAACUCAACAUACCAGCACAGGUAGGAGGAGUAAGUCUGACAACAAACCCCAGGCUUUCCCAAUGUCUGAAGGAAGAUUUCAGAAAAGGAUCAUGUACCUGCUGACAGAUAGGACAGAAAUCCAAAACAAUGCUAAUGGGUGUGGCUCCAUGGCACCCUCGGGAACAGAGGCAAACUUACCAUCACCAGCCACCUCAGCAGAGAAUCUGCAUGAUUUAGACAAAAAAACUGAAAACUCUGGAGGAAAAACAGAAUCUGGUUGAUGACAAAUGAUGUUAUGUCAGCCGUCAACAUGAAGGGGAACAAGGGGAAGCUUGAAUGUGUAUCAAGUUGUGAAAGAAAGUGCCCUCAAAACACCGACGGCGAGAGAUGCCACAGAGCAUGCUGUGGAUAUGGUAAUCGCAUAUUGUUUAAAAUAUGAAUCAGAUAGACGCGGCGGAGGGGGAGACCAAAAUAAAU